UGGGAAAUUGGCUGACAAAGCCGCAUGGGUUCACAGGGUGUGAACUGUGACUUAGCCCCACUGAAAUGCAGAUUGGAUGUGGAACAAAAAUCCAGCCGUGUGAAUUGGGCCUUACACUGGCUAGAGCCCACCUCCAGCAGGGCAGGUGCGUCUUAUAGUCUGAUGUGUCUUAUGGAGCAAAAAAACAUGGUUGAUGUGUGGUGAACAGAGAUGGUCAACCCAACGCUUCAUGACCUCGGCGCAUUCCUCCGGAUUCAGUCGCACCUGAUAAAGAAGAAGGUUGAACAGUGUGACCCUCAAAUCACACACAACCAUUUCCGC
Long non-coding RNA from Bufo gargarizans (Asiatic toad), 321 nucleotides. RefSeq lists it as uncharacterized. NCBI's taxonomy places the organism in Eukaryota, Metazoa, Chordata, Amphibia, Anura, Bufonidae. The record is from RefSeq and is a predicted model, not a curated record. The transcript has 4 exons.